GACGAACGCUGGCGGCGUGCCUAAUACAUGCAAGUCGAGCGGAACCUUUGGAGCUUGCUCCAUUGGUUUAGCGGCGGACGGGUGAGUAACACGUGGGCAACCUGCCCUGCAGAUCGGGAUAACUCCGGGAAACCGGUGCUAAUACCGAAUAGUUUGCGGCCUCUCCUGAGGCUGCACGGAAAGACGGUUUCGGCUGUCACUGCAGGAUGGGCCCGCGGCGCAUUAGCUAGUUGGUGGGGUAAUGGCCCACCAAGGCGACGAUGCGUAGCCGACCUGAGAGGGUGAUCGGCCACACUGGGACUGAGACACGGCCCAG
This 316-nucleotide ribosomal RNA is filed under the name uncultured bacterium. Its description in RNAcentral is "bacterial SSU rRNA". It matches the Rfam family "Bacterial small subunit ribosomal RNA", at positions 28 to 334 of the family's 1533-position model. The record is from RNAcentral.